Camellia sinensis is the source of this 1932-nucleotide non-coding RNA. Lineage: Eukaryota; Viridiplantae; Streptophyta; Magnoliopsida; Ericales; Theaceae. The record is from RefSeq and is a predicted model, not a curated record.
ACAAGUAUGUUUAACUUCACAGAGACUUAACCCAUAUCUAUUCAAACAUUUCCAAAUGGCUCUCUCUCUCUCUCUCUCUAAAAUGGUUCUCUCUCAGUAGCCCUAAUUAAGGAGCUGUGGAUGCAACCAGCAAUGAAGAGUUCUUGGAGUUUAUAGAUCUACAGAGAGAUUAAUGCUUCUAAUCUCAACGAUUUCGUGUUCAAUCUGGAUCUCGAUUUCGAUUUGUGCACUAGGGCUUAGGAUUUAAUAUUUUCCUUCGAGAUUUUUCAAUUUCCCUUCCAGAUUUUUCGAUUUCCCUUAAUCUUUACCGAUCUAGGUCUUCGUUUUUCAUGGAUUCAGGUAUCCAAUCGCUCGUGAUUUGGAGUUGCUAAGUUCACUUGAGAUACAGAGCUUUCAUGGGCUUGUUAUUCAUCGAGUCUGAUCUAGACUUGCUGUGAGUGAACUCAAGAUUCAGAGGUUUUCAUCACUACACAGACUUGGAUAUUUCGCAAGAUUCAAUACUGCAGAAUGUAGAUGAGCAGACAGUUCGUAGUCUCAAUGGAUGCAGAGUGACUGAUCAAAUUUUGCGUUUGCUUUCGUACUACACUGAGAUGUAUGAGACUCUAGGCAAAGCGAUGUGGGGUUUAUUCAAAUGUUUCGAGGUUUCUUGGUGGUAUCAAUUGGGCGUUACUUGUUGCUCGUAUAUGCCAACUUUACCCAAAUGCACUACCUAAUAUGUUGGUCUCAAGGUUCUUCAAGGUCUAUAACCUUUGGCGGUGGCCAAAUCCUGUCACGUUAUGUCCUAUUCAGGAUGGUUCUCUGGGACUUCCUGUUUGGGAUCCCAAGAGAAAUUUCAGGGAUAGGCAGCACCUGAUGCCAACCAUAACUCCUGCAUAUCCCUGCAUGAACUCUAGUUACAAUGUGUCGACAAGCACAUUGCGUGUGAUGAUGGAAGAGUUUCAGCGAGGCAAUGAGAUUUGUGAGAAUGAACAGUGGGAGAUUAAGCCAAUGGUUACAAAUACUAGUUUGUGUAGUGAUCUUGCUAAAAACAGAAGGAUUCAAUGUUGGAAUAACUUAUGUUGAGAAUGCAGUUGCAAAAGGAUUUGUUUGGAUGGGAGUCCACCGGCAUACCAUCAUGAUAAGGGAUUUGGAACGGGAAUUAACAGUUGGUUGGUUCAUAUUGAGGUUGGUCCUUUUACAGUAUAUAUAAUCAAUUUCAUGGUUACAGUAUAUACUAUAGAAUUGUCUUUUGGGUCUUGUGCUAUACUUGGUGGUACAAUGCCAAAAUUUGGCACACCAUUGUCGUGUCUUUAUUUUUUCAAUUGGUGGUAUAAGGCUAAAUUUAGCUUUGACACAUAUUCAAGUUGCUAGGAGGUCUAAAUCAAGAGAUAACAAAUAGCUAACAUUUUAGUUAUCAAGAUUGGAGAUGAUGUGAUCCAGCAUUCAAGUUUUACCUGAAUUGAUUGCUUCUGUAAAGAAGGCAGCAUUAGAAGAUGUUAAUGGUUGUUUAGGUUAAUAAAUAAUGUUGUUGAGUACUUUCCAUGUGUAUGCUUUCUAAUGUUUGCUGAAAUUUUAAACUCAUUUUUAAUUGUUGUGUGUUGAAACAGACAAUGGCAUGGAUCGAAAUUUCAUGGCUACUCACCCGCUGUGGUGACUGGUAAACCUAUUCUAAGUAAACAUAGACUGGUUUGUAAUUGGCAUUAUUUUUGAUUUUUUCUUCUCAUGGUUGCUUAUGCUUUUGCUCUAUGUUAUAUUAAUGGCUGUUUGAUGAAACCAAACUUUCAAAGUUACACAUAUUGUGAAUACAACGUAUAAAUAAAAAAGUUUUCAUUGUACAUGCACUUGGAAAUUUCAUAAUUUCUUAUCUUUCUAGCCUUCUUGACAUGGUAUGCAAGAGUAUGUAGAUUUUCUAACCAUUCAAGUUUAUUGAAGUUGUGUUAAUGGAAUUGGAUG